Non-coding RNA from Tetranychus urticae (two-spotted spider mite), 299 nucleotides. Lineage: Eukaryota; Metazoa; Arthropoda; Arachnida; Trombidiformes; Tetranychidae. The record is from RefSeq and is a predicted model, not a curated record.
UUUGUAACUUACUUUCAACUUACAUUUUUCGGUGAAAAUUUGUAGACUUUUAGGUUGAGUGAUUAAUUUAGAGUUCAACUUGCAAAAUGGCUCAUAAUCAUGAUGAGAAAGAUACCGUGACAAUAAAAAUGAAGAUAUUGGGUGAUGCCACUUAUGAUAUUGUAAUUGAUUGGCUUGAUGACGAUUGUCACCCUGAUGUUCAAGUAAAGAGACAGUUGGCAUCAAUCACAAAAAUACCAUUUGAAUGCAUAAAACCGGUCUUUUUCGUGCCUGAUGAAACAUAUUGGGGUCGCCCCGGU